This 331-nucleotide unclassified non-coding RNA is filed under the name Bolbitius coprophilus. Its description in RNAcentral is "partial internal transcribed spacer region". The stretch from base 1 to 46 matches the Rfam family "Eukaryotic small subunit ribosomal RNA", at positions 1786 to 1831 of the family's 1831-position model. The record is from RNAcentral. Lineage: Eukaryota; Fungi; Basidiomycota; Agaricomycetes; Agaricales; Bolbitiaceae.
AAGUCGUAACAAGGUUUCCGUAGGUGAACCUGCGGAAGGAUCAUUACAGAAUAAACCUGGCUAGUUGUUGCUGGCUCUCUCAGGAGCAUGUGCACGCUGGUCACUUUUAUCUUACCACCUGUGAACCACUUGUAGAUCUGGAGGCAUUUUUCACGGACUUUGUCUGUGGUUUUUGGGAGCUGCCAUGCCCUUUUACUAGGGUCGACUCUUCCUGGCCUUCAGGUCUAUGUCUUUACAUCUACUCCAUCAAAUGUAAAUGAAAGAAACAAUGGCAGCUUUAUUGCAGCCUAUAAAACUUGUACAACUUUCAGCAACGGAUCUCUUGGCUCUC